GGGGAUUUAGCUCAGUGACAUAAGCGCCUGCCUUGCAAGCAGGCAGUUGUGAGUUCGAUCCCCA
RNAcentral lists this transfer RNA (64 nucleotides) under Cavia porcellus (domestic guinea pig). It matches the Rfam family "tRNA", at positions 1 to 62 of the family's 71-position model. From Rfam's summary of the family: Transfer RNA (tRNA) molecules are approximately 80 nucleotides in length. Their secondary structure includes four short double-helical elements and three loops (D, anti-codon, and T loops). Further hydrogen bonds mediate the characteristic L-shaped molecular structure. tRNAs have two regions of fundamental functional importance: the anti-codon, which is responsible for specific mRNA codon recognition, and the 3' end, to which the tRNAs corresponding amino acid is attached (by aminoacyl-tRNA synthetases). tRNAs cope with the degeneracy of the genetic code in two manners: having more than one tRNA (with a specific anti-codon) for a particular amino acid; and 'wobble' base-pairing, i.e. permitting non-standard base-pairing at the 3rd anti-codon position. The record is from Rfam by way of RNAcentral. Lineage: Eukaryota; Metazoa; Chordata; Mammalia; Rodentia; Caviidae.